Molecule: non-coding RNA, 121 nt
Filed under: Gardnerella greenwoodii 00703Dmash
Lineage: Bacteria; Bacillati; Actinomycetota; Actinomycetes; Bifidobacteriales; Bifidobacteriaceae
Description: Gardnerella vaginalis 00703Dmash DUF3800-I RNA
Rfam family: DUF3800-I RNA
About the family: Actinobacteria, Firmicutes, Fusobacteria, Proteobacteria (1 example), Tenericutes (2 examples).
Source: Rfam by way of RNAcentral
UUUUUACACAGGCAUUUAUUGCGCUGUAUACGUGGGUAGCUGAAUUAACGUUUAAGCGGCGUAUUCCGUCGCCAGCCCCACGGUUAGGAAGGCCGCGUUUAGCGGCUUUUCCUAUAGUUAG